GACGAACGCUGGCGGCGUGCCUAAUACAUGCAAGUUGAGCGCUGAAGGUUGGUACUUGUACCAACUGGAUGAGCAGCGAACGGGUGAGUAACGCGUGGGGAAUCUACCUUUGAGCGGGGGACAACAUUUGGAAACGAAUGCUAAUACCGCAUAAAAACUUUAAACACAAGUUUUAAGUUUGAAAGAUGCAAUUGCAUCACUCAAAGAUGAUCCCGCGUUGUAUUAGCUAGUUGGUGAGGUAAAGGCUCACCAAGGCGAUGAUACAUAGCCGACCUGAGAGGGGGAUCGGCCACAUUGGGACUGAGACACGGCCCAAACUCCUACGGGAGGCAGCAGUAGGGAAUCUUCGGCAAUGGACGAAAGUCUGACCGAGCAACGCCGCGUGAGUGAAGAAGGUUUUCGGAUCGUAAAACUCUGUUGGUAGAGAAGAACGUUGGUGAGAGUGGAAAGCUCAUCAAGUGACGGUAACUACCCAGAAAGGGACGGCUAACUACGUG
Molecule: ribosomal RNA, 497 nt
Filed under: uncultured bacterium
Lineage: Bacteria
Description: partial 16S ribosomal RNA
Rfam family: Bacterial small subunit ribosomal RNA
Source: RNAcentral